AGCGAACGCUGGCGGCAGGCUUAACACAUGCAAGUCGAGCGGGCAUAGCAAUAUGUCGGCGGCAGACGGGUGAGUAACGCGUGGGAACGUACCUUUUGGUUCGGAACAACUGAGGGAAACUUCAGCUAAUACCGGAUAAGCCCUUACGGGGAAAGAUUUAUCGCCGAAAGAUCGGCCCGCGUCUGAUUAGCUAGUUGGUGAGGUAAUGGCUCACCAAGGCGACGAUCAGUAGCUGGUCUGAGAGGAUGAUCAGCCACAUUGGGACUGAGACACGGCCCAAACUCCUACGGGAGGCAGCAGUGAGGAAUAUUGGACAAUGGGCGCAAGCCUGAUCCAGCCAUGCCGCGUGAGUGAUGAAGGCCCUAGGGUUGUAAAGCUCUUUUGUGCGGGAAGAUAAUGACGGUACCGCAAGAAUAAGCCCCGGCUAACUUCGUG
RNAcentral lists this ribosomal RNA (435 nucleotides) under uncultured bacterium. Its description in RNAcentral is "partial 16S ribosomal RNA". It matches the Rfam family "Bacterial small subunit ribosomal RNA", at positions 29 to 507 of the family's 1533-position model. The record is from RNAcentral.